This 89-nucleotide small nucleolar RNA is filed under the name Cavia aperea (Brazilian guinea pig). The record is from RNAcentral. Lineage: Eukaryota; Metazoa; Chordata; Mammalia; Rodentia; Caviidae.
CAGGAGCCUAAAGAGAUGUCUUUCUAUGGUCUGUUGGCCAUUUCAGAACUUGGGCAGUGAAAUGGUCAGUUCAUUAGAAAGAAACAGCU